UCCGGUGGCGAUAGCGGAGGGGAAACACCCGUUCCCAUUCCGAACACGGAAGUUAAGCCCUCCAGCGCCGAUGGUACUGCAUAAGCGGGAGAGUAGGUCGCUGCCGGGG
This 109-nucleotide ribosomal RNA is filed under the name Caldanaerobacter subterraneus subsp. tengcongensis MB4. RNAcentral also lists the same sequence under 1 other name. The record is from RNAcentral. Lineage: Bacteria; Bacillati; Bacillota; Clostridia; Thermoanaerobacterales; Thermoanaerobacteraceae.